UCCCCAGUGGCGCAAUUGGUUAGCGCGCGGUACUUAUAAUGGCGAGGUUGUGAGUUCGAUCCUCACACCUGGGGAA
Molecule: transfer RNA, 76 nt
Filed under: Trichonephila inaurata madagascariensis
Lineage: Eukaryota; Metazoa; Arthropoda; Arachnida; Araneae; Nephilidae
Description: tRNA-Ile
Rfam family: tRNA
About the family: Transfer RNA (tRNA) molecules are approximately 80 nucleotides in length. Their secondary structure includes four short double-helical elements and three loops (D, anti-codon, and T loops).
Source: RNAcentral